This 444-nucleotide ribosomal RNA is filed under the name uncultured bacterium. RNAcentral describes it as "partial 16S ribosomal RNA". It matches the Rfam family "Bacterial small subunit ribosomal RNA", at positions 339 to 795 of the family's 1533-position model. The record is from RNAcentral.
CUACGGGAUGCAGCAGUGGGGAAUAUUGCACAAUGGGCGCAAGCCUGAUGCAGCAAUGCCGCGUGAGGGAUGAAGGCCUUCGGGUUGUAAACCUCUUUUAGCAGGGAAGAAGCGAAAGUGACGGUACCUGCAGAAAAAGCACCGGCUAACUACGUGCCAGCAGCCGCGGUAAUACGUAGGGUGCAAGCGUUGUCCGGAAUUAUUGGGCGUAAAGAGCUCGUAGGCGGUUUGUCACGUCUGCUGUGAAAAUCCAAGGCUCAACCUUGGACUUGCAGUGGGUACGGGUAGGCUAGAGUGCGGUAGGGGAGAUUGGAAUUCCUGGUGUAGCGGUGGAAUGCGCAGAUAUCAGGAGGAACACCAAUGGCGAAGGCAGAUCUCUGGGCCGUAACUGACGCUGAGGAGCGAAAGCGUGGGGAGCGAACAGGAUUAGAUACCCUGGUAGUC